Long non-coding RNA from Capsicum annuum, 5624 nucleotides. RefSeq lists it as uncharacterized. The record is from RefSeq and is a predicted model, not a curated record. Lineage: Eukaryota; Viridiplantae; Streptophyta; Magnoliopsida; Solanales; Solanaceae. The transcript has 2 exons.
AAGAUGUACGCAGUCAGAAUUGUUUUUGAACUUUAUAAAAUAAAUAAAUAAAUAUACAUUUGAUUUAUUUUAUUUUUUAAAAUAUAAUUUUCGUUAAAGUGAAAUAACUUUAUAGCUAAAACUUUACUUGGUUGAAUACUUGUUUGGCACCUUUUGUUGGAUUUUCUCGUGCAACUCCCUAGGUCCAUCUAUAAAGUGUCUUCACUCUACUCAAGCACAUGAGGAUCAUUUCAGCCUAGAAUGAGGUCAACAGAGAGAAUGGAUUUUCAUGGGAGGGUGGUUGCCCUCUCUGUUUGGCCUAUGAUUUCUCCAAACUCAACAACCCUCCCUCUUAUUUCUCAACAAAAACCAAAAAAAAAAUAAAAAAUGAGCAUAACAUAACGUUUAUAUCAACAGCAAGAGCCAAGAGCAGUACUAUAAUUAUUACUUCCCUUUUCAUCUUUUUUACCUUUCUUUAAAAAACUGUCCACAAAUUGCUACUACCAAAAAAAGAGAGGCAAUGAUGAUGAUGAUAUUUAUUGUUUGCUGUGUGAUAAUGUAUUCUGGGCUGAAAUUAUUAUUCGGGGCAAUGGAGAAAACCCGACCCGUAUCUUGGCGGGGCAAAAACCCGAAACCCGGUUCGUUUUGCAGCCAUGGCGUUGUCGUAUUUUUCUCCGUUUUGUUCCCCCCAUUUUACACACAUCUGAGCCUCCCUCUAUCUGACAAAUUCGGAUCCGGGUCGGAUCGGAAUUUCGGAUCUUGAUGGAAAUCCAUUCAUUUUAGCUCAAAAGACUGAGGUAAUUGGAGAAAUAUUGGGAUUUUUUGGUAUCCGGUAUGUCAAUGAUUUCUACUUUUCUAAUUAACAACCUUUUUUAGCUUUUGCUGUAAUUUCCUCUAUUUUGUUUCGGGGACUUGCAUUUUAAUAAUGCGAUAUUAAUUUGAGAAAGAUUUGCAACUUAUAGUAUUUUUCGUAUAGUCUUCUAACUAUCUGAAUUUAAAUUUUAAAUAUUGCAGUAAUAUAAUUUAGUUUAGUUUCGAAGAUUAGUCAAAUUGAUUUUGAUGAAGUAAAUCGUGACAGUAAAAGUAAACGGAGGGAGUAGAUAUCAAUGGGCAUAAAAAUUGCACGUUUUCGGGACAUAAGUUAAGUUCUUGAGAAACUGAAGUUAUGUUUUGACAUAACUUGUGGGAUAUUAUUAUAAGAAAAAUAUAAACUUAUGUCUCAGCGAAAAAAUUGUUUGUUACGAGGCACGUAAAUUAAAGACAAGCACAAAUGACAAACCAAACCAACAGGGAGAAAAAGGGGAUUUCUUUGGAGGGUGGUUGCCUCCUCUGAUUGGCCUAUGAUUUCUCCUUUAACCAAACCAACAACCCUCUUCAAAAGUGGAAACAAGAAGCAAUCUUUGCUGUCAUUGCCUUAAAGAGGUGGUGAUAUGAUGCUGAUGGCAGCAGUACUAUCAGGUAUCGUUCGGUAGAGUGUGUAAGAAACUGAAGUUACGCCUUAAGUUAUGGAAAUAUAAAUUCAUGCCUCGCAAAAAAGUUGUUUGCUAUGAGGGUAAUAAAUUAAGGACCAACAAAAAACAGGGGUAAAAAUGCGAAUGACCCAGUUAAUGGAAGCUCUCAGUCCAUAAUGAAGAAUGAGGCCAACAGGGGGAAAGGGAAUUUUCUUUGGAGGAUGGUUGCCCCUCUGAUUGGCCUAUGAUUUCUCCUUUAACCAACAACCCUAUGCAAAAGUGGAAAAAAGAAAUAUUGUUUGUCGUUAUCGCCUUCAGUGGUGGCGAUGUGAUGCUGAUGGCAGUAGUAAUAUUCAAUUUUUUGAUCAUUCUGAGGUACGUUUAAUUGCACCGUCAUAAAUUCUUUGAAGGUGCGGGGCAAUAGUGCAAAUGACCCUCUGAGCUAAGGUCUCAUUUGUUUUAUGCUUAUGCUUAAAAGCCACUUAAAAUAAUUCCAUCGAAACAGGCUCUUGUUAUUUUUUCUUGUGAAGGUUGUUCAAAACGGGUUCUUUUGGAAAAGUUUCCAUUUUUGUCGAAAGAGGCAGUGAUGAUAUUGCUAAACUGGGCUGAUGUUUGGGGGCAUGGAGACAGUCUUACCCGUAUCUUGGCAUGGCAAACCUAGAUGUCUUGUGUUUGAGUCUUCUCUUUCACAUGUAGCUGGUUCUUUUGCAGCCAUGGCGGUUAUUGCCUUCUCUUUGUCCCCUUUUUUGCAGCUCUGAGCCUCAAUUUCCAACUACAGGAGUCAAUUGUAUGCGGCCUUGUUAGACAUCAAUUAAUAUUAACUCUCUUUAGCUGUCUAUAAAGAAUCUUUUACUCAAGAAUGAGGAUCAUUUCAGAUGGAAUGAGGCCAACAGAGAAAAAAUGGUGUGUUCAUGGUGGGUGGUUGCCCUCUCUGAUUGGCCUAUGAUUUCUCCUUUAACCCAACCAACAACCCUUCCUUGCCAUUGACCGCAACAGUAUGGUACUCCUUAUUAUUAUUAUUAUUAUUGCUUCCUCCGUUCCAUCUUUGUACUUUUCUUGAAAAAUUGUCCACAAAUUGCCACACCAAAAAAGAGGUAAUGAUGAUGAUAUAUACUGUGUGGUGAUUCUGGGCUGACAUUAUUGUUCGGGGCAUGGAGAAAACCCGACUCGUAUGUUGUCGAGCAAACCCCGGUUCGUUUUGCAGCCAUGGCAUUGUCAUCUUUUUCUCCUCUUUUGCCGAUUUUACACACAUCUGAGUCGCUAUUUCAGAAUUCGGAUCCAACCCGGAUCCAGCUUGAUAAAAACCCAGUUCAGUUUAGCUCAAAGACUUGAGGCAAUUGGAGAAAAAUUGGGAUUUUUUUUUCAGAGUGGUUGACCAUAUAUCCGGUAUGUCAAUGAUUUCUUAUUUGCUCUUAUCAACAACCCUUUUUAGCUUUUGCUGUUAUUUCUUGGAUUUAGGGGACUUACACUUUAAUAUGAGAAGGAUUGCAACUUAUAGUAUUUUUUGUAUGGUUUUUAAAUAUUUAAAAUUUAAAUAUAAAAUAUUGCAUUUAUCUAAUUCAAUUUUGCUUCAAAGAUUAGUCAAAUCGACUGGCGUGAGGCAAAACGUGACAAGUCAAAUUGACUCCUGUGAGGCUAAAAUGUGUCAAGUAAAAGUGAACGAACAGAGGGAGUAGAUAGCAAUGAACAUAAUAUUGCACAUUUUGGGGAAACAAAUUCCUUAGAAACUGAGUUAUGCUCGAUAUAACUUGUGGGAUAUUAUUAUAUGGAAAUAUAAUCUUAUGUCUCACAAGAACUUUUGUUACAAGGUGCAUAAAUUAAAGACCAACACAAAAUAGCGGUAAAAGUGCUAAUGACCCAGUAAUGGCCCACACAAAAUUGCGGUAAAAGUGCUAAUGACCCAGUAAUGGAAGCUCAGUUCAGUUAUGAAGAAUGAGGCCAACAGGGAGAAAAAGGGUAUUUAUUUUCAGAAAAAAUAAAUAAUUGUCACGGCCAAACAUGUGCUUAAUUGAAUACUUGUUUGACACCUUUUGUUGAAUUUUCUCCUGUAGUUCCGCAGGUCCAUCUAUAAAUGCCUUCACUCUACUCAAGUACAUGAACAUCAAUUCAGCCCAGAAUGAGGUCAACAGAGAGAAUGGAUUUUCAUGGGAGGGUGGUUGCCCUCUCUGAUUGGCCUAUGAUCUCCUUUAACCAAACCAACAACACUUUCCAAAAGUAGAAACAAGAAGCAAUGGUUGUUGCCAUCGCAAUGAAUGUGAUGCCGAUGGGAGAAAUACUCUUCAAUUUUCUGAUCAUACUGAGCUGCAUUUAAUUGCAGUUCUUAAGGGCGUGGGGCAAAAGAGCAAGUGACCCUCUGAGCUAAGGCCUCAUUUCUUUUAUGCUUAUGCUUAAAUGCCGCUUAAAACAAGUCCUCCAUCCAAACAGGCCCUUGUUAAGUUUUUCUUGUUAAGGUUGUUCGAACAGGUUCUUGUGGAACAGUUUCCAUUUUUGUCGAAAGAGGCAUUGAUGAUAUUGCUAAUUUGUGCCCAUUUUUGGGGCAUCUAGACAAUCUGACCAGUAUCUUGGCAAGGCAAACCUGAGUGGCUUGUGAUUGAGUCUUCUCUUUCACAUGCAACUGGUUCUUUUGCAGCCAUGGCGAUUGUCGCCUUCUCUUUGCCCCAUUUUUGUCAGUUCUUAGCCUCAACUUCCAACUAGUCAAGUGGAUGUUGAAGGACUCGAGGAGUUCUGAACCUAAAUGACGAAAAAUCCUCUGUAUACACACACAAACACAUCAUGAGAAGAUGUCAAAAAUUGGUUCCUUAGUAGGACAGUGAUUAUCUUUAAAUCUAUUCUCUUGAGCUAAUAAUUGAGCAUUGAGAGUACCCAACUGGUAUCUUGGCAGGGCAAUGACCUGGAUGGCUGUGAUUUAUUGCAUGCACCUUGGGAAUUUUUGCAGCCAAUGCGUCACCAGACUUUCUUUGCCUGAGCAUAAAUACAGACCUGAAUGUCAAACUAUCAGUUCAUCCCAGAAGAAAGAAUGAGGCCAACAGAAACAAAAAUGGAUUUAUUGGAGGGUGGUUGCCUCUCUGAUUGGCCUAUGAUUUCUCUGUCCCACCAAACCAACAACCCUCUGUUGCUAUAUUUGUGAAAUUUCCAAAAAUAAAUAAAUAAAUAAGUUCCGUUGCUAUUGAUGUGAUGUUGAUAGCAGCAGUAGUACUACACUAAUACUAAUACUCCCUCCGUUCCACUACUUUUCUCGAAAACUGUCCACAAGUUGCUGUAGAAAAGUUUCCAUCUUUCCAAAGAGGCAGUGAUGAUAUUUGCUGAUGAUUCUGGGCUGAAAUUCGGGGCAUGGAGAAAACACGACUUGUAUCUUGGUGGGGCAAACUCGAAGCAUGCAACCGGUUCAUUUUGCAGCCAUGGCGUUGUCAUCAUCUUCUCCUCUUUGCCCCGCUCUCCACAUAUCUGAGCCUCUACUUCAAAUCCAUAUUCAGAUCCUUGUUUAAUGGAAACUCAAUUCGUUUUAGCUCAAAAGGCCAAAACAAUCGGAGAGAAAUGGAGAUCUUUUUUCACGGUGAUUGACUGUCUCUGAGCAAUGCACAUAAAUUUGCACGUUUCGGGGACGUAAGUUCUUUGGAAACUAAAUUUAUGCCAAGUUUGCAGCCAUGGCAGUGUCAAAGAACCCAAUACGCUGAGAUCAACUGCUUAUUCAAAACUUUUUAAGGUCAUCUGCAGUUAUUUUCAGCUUUGCUUUGGAAUUGCAGUGGACAAAAUCUUGUACAUUCUUACUAGCAAUUGUCAAGUUUUGGGCUGAAAUAUGUUUUACUAUAAGCCUUUUUCGUUCUUAUGCCUUGAUGGUUUGUCUAACCUUACUUUUUCCUUUUACCAGCAGCUCUAUGGUUAGAUGGACUGUGCUACAGAUGACGAUAGAUAUUUUUCAGUUGUUGGAACCUAAGUUACUCGGACUCUUCAUUUUCGAUGCUGCACCCGUAUCGACAUGACAUGGGUGUGGGUGUGGGAUCCGCAUUCGAUCUAGUCAAACCGAUUUUGGGUACUUGGACCAUAAUCUACUGGGAAUGUCCGGACAAAUUCAAGAAAUUAUGUAAUCAAAACAAAAGCUAGGGUGAAAUUGAAGAAAAUGACAUAUCUUGUAUAUAGAAAUUUCUAUGUCAUUGCUUUUCUUUUUAUAUCCUUCAGGAUUUUCUUCUUGAACAA